RNAcentral lists this ribosomal RNA (407 nucleotides) under uncultured bacterium. Its description in RNAcentral is "partial 16S ribosomal RNA". It matches the Rfam family "Bacterial small subunit ribosomal RNA", at positions 30 to 526 of the family's 1533-position model. The record is from RNAcentral.
AUUGAACGCUAGCGGGAUGCCUUACACAUGCAAGUCGAACGGAGUGGCGAACGGGUGAGUAAUGUAUCGGAACGUGCCCAGUAGCGGGGGAUAACUACGCGAAAGCGUCGCUAAUACCGCAUACUAUUGGAGCGGCCAAUAUCGGAUUAGCUAGUUGGGGGGGUAACGGCUCACCAAGGCGACGAUCCGUAGCGGGUUUGAGAGGACGACCAGCCAAACUGGGAAUGAGAAACGGCCCAGAAUCCUACGGGAGGCAGCAGUGGGGAAUUUUGGACAAGGGGGGAAACCCUGAUCCAGCAAUCACGCUGGUGCGAUGAAGGCUUUCGGGUUGUAAAGCACUGUUGGAAGGAAAGCGGUACCUGCAGAAUAAGCACCGGCUAACUACGUGCCAGCAGCCGCGGUAAUAC